Molecule: long non-coding RNA, 492 nt
Filed under: Lathyrus oleraceus (garden pea)
Lineage: Eukaryota; Viridiplantae; Streptophyta; Magnoliopsida; Fabales; Fabaceae
Description: Pisum sativum (pea) long non-coding RNA (PSAT_LNC038309)
Source: RNAcentral
GAAGUCCAAGGUGAUGAAAAACUAAAGGCUAUAGUGCAGGCCUUGUUAGCAGAUCCUAGUAGCCAAACUGGUUUUCAGCUAAAAGGUGGUAGGUUGUAUCAUGAAGGCAGAAUAGUGGUUCCAAAGCAAUCACCUAGAAUUGCUUGGUUCUUACAUGAGUUCCAUGAUACUGCUGUGGGAGGACACUCAGGAUACCUAAGGACUUACAAAAAAUUGCUAGUGUGGUGUAUUGGGAGGGUAUGAGAAAGAGGAUACAUGAGCAUGUGCAAGCUUGUGAAGUGUGUCAAAGGAAUAAGUAUCAAACCUUGAGUCCUGGAGGAUUGUUACAACCUUUGCCUAUACCAACACAGACAUGGAGUGACAUUUCCAUGGACUUCAUAGGAGGGUUAAGUGUGUCAAAGGAAUAAGUAUCAAACCUUGAGUCCUGGAGGAUUGUUACAACCUUUGCCUAUACCAACACAGACAUGGAGUGACAUUUCCAUGGACUUCAUA